CCCCUAAGGCGAGGCCGAAAGGCGUAGUCGAUGGGAAACAGGUUAAUAUUCCUGUACUUGGUGUUACUGCGAAGGGGGGACGGAGAAGGCUAUGUUAGCCGGGCGACGGUUGUCCCGGUUUAAGCAUGUAGGCUGGUUAUCCAGGCAAAUCCGGAUAAUCAAGGCUGAGGUGUGAUGACGAGGCACUACGGUGCUGAAGUAACAAAUGCCCUGCUUCCAGGAAAAGCCUCUAAGCAUCAGGUAACAUCAAAUCGUACCCCAAACCGACACAGGUGGUCAGGUAGAGAAUACCAAGGCGCUUGAGAGAACUCGGGUGAAGGAACUAGGCAAAAUGGUGCCGUAACUUCGGGAGAAGGCACGCUGGUGUGUAGGUGAAGUCCCUGCGGAUGGAGCUGAGACCAGUCGAAGAUACCAGCUGGCUGCAACUGUUUAUUAAAAACACAGCACUGUGCAAACACGAAAGUGGACGUAUACGGUGUGACGCCUGCCCGGUGCCGGAAGGUUAAUUGAUGGGGUUAUCCGUAAGGAGAAGCUCUUGAUCGAAGCCCCGGUAAACGGCGGCCGUAACUAUAACGGUCCUAAGGUAGCGAAAUUCCUUGUCGGGUAAGUUCCGACCUGCACGAAUGGCGUAAUGAUGGCCAGGCUGUCUCCACCCGAGACUCAGUGAAAUUGAACUCGCUGUGAAGAUGCAGUGUACCCGCGGCAAGACGGAAAGACCCCGUGAACCUUUACUAUAGCUUGACACUGAACAUUGAGCCUUGAUGUGUAGGAUAGGUGGGAGGCUUUGAAGCGUGGACGCCAGUCUGCGUGGAGCCAACCUUGAAAUACCACCCUUUAAUGUUUGAUGUUCUAACGUUGGCCCCUUACCGGGGUUGCGGACAGUGUCUGGUGGGUAGUUUGACUGGGGCGGUCUCCUCCCAAAGCGUAACGGAGGAGCACGAAGGUUAGCUAAUCCUGGUCGGACAUCAGGAGGUUAGUGCAAUGGCAUAAGCUAGCUUGACUGCGAGCGUGACGGCGCGAGCAGGUGCGAAAGCAGGUCAUAGUGAUCCGGUGGUUCUGAAUGGAAGGGCCAUCGCUCAACGGAUAAAAGGUACUCCGGGGAUAACAGGCUGAUACCGCCCAAGAGUUCAUAUCGACGGCGGUGUUUGGCACCUCGAUGUCGGCUCAUCACAUCCUGGGGCUGAAGUAGGUCCCAAGGGUAUGGCUGUUCGCCAUUUAAAGUGGUACGCGAGCUGGGUUUAGAACGUCGUGAGACAGUUCGGUCCCUAUCUGCCGUGGGCGCUGGAGAAUUGAGGGGGGCUGCUCCUAGUACGAGAGGACCGGAGUGGACGCAUCACUGGUGUUCGGGUUGUCAUGCCAAUGGCACUGCCCGGUAGCUAAAUGCGGAAGAGAUAAGUGCUGAAAGCAUCUAAGCACGAAACUUGCCCCGAGAUGAGUUCUCCCUGAGACUUUAAGUCUCCUGAAGGAACGUUAAAGACGAUGACGUUGAUAGGCCGGGUGUGUAAGCGCAGCGAUGCGUUGAGCUAACCGGUACUAAUGAACCGUGAGGCUUAACCUU
This 1558-nucleotide ribosomal RNA is filed under the name Klebsiella pneumoniae. RNAcentral describes it as "23S ribosomal RNA". It matches the Rfam family "Bacterial large subunit ribosomal RNA", at positions 1388 to 2925 of the family's 2925-position model. Lineage: Bacteria; Pseudomonadati; Pseudomonadota; Gammaproteobacteria; Enterobacterales; Enterobacteriaceae. The record is from RNAcentral.